UCUCAGUGUACUUCUGACAAUUCUCUGAGUGACUCAAGAGCAGGAAGGUGAAGGGACAGAGAGAGAGAGA
Molecule: small nucleolar RNA, 70 nt
Filed under: Echinops telfairi (small Madagascar hedgehog)
Lineage: Eukaryota; Metazoa; Chordata; Mammalia; Afrosoricida; Tenrecidae
Source: RNAcentral